AUCUAGCUGACGACCCCCAAAUAGGACGAAACACGCGUCCUGGAU
Molecule: non-coding RNA, 45 nt
Organism: Schistosoma margrebowiei
Lineage: Eukaryota; Metazoa; Platyhelminthes; Trematoda; Strigeidida; Schistosomatidae
Source: Rfam